Molecule: long non-coding RNA, 976 nt
Filed under: Helianthus annuus (common sunflower)
Lineage: Eukaryota; Viridiplantae; Streptophyta; Magnoliopsida; Asterales; Asteraceae
Description: hypothetical non coding rna
Source: RNAcentral
CUUGCUGAGCAAUAUUUCUAAUAAAUCGCCUUUUUCAAAAAAAAUAAAAAAAAAUAAGUGAUUUUUGGGUGGUGCUCCUUCGUUGUAAUUAAAGUAAAUCAUUUUCGAAUGUGGGGUGGUCCUUUGUUGCCGACAAGAAUUAGAAUUGAAUGGAAUAUCACACCUUCCAUUUGUGCUUGAUUCAACGAUCUAAAAAGUGACCGGAUCACGAAUGGGGUUGUGGUUCAUUGGUAAAUACAAAGCCUUUAAACACCUUGGGAUUGCCGUUCAAAAAAAAGUGACCGGAUCGGACGUGUACUUUUUCAGGAACACAAGUGAGUGGCGUUUCAAUUAUUCAAGAUAGGUUGAAGAUGAAUACAAAUAUGAAAUCGUAAAGUUACAAGACAUUCACAUUCAGUACUCAUUGUUAUCUCUCUGGAAUAUAUUCGGGUGGAAGCUCCUUAACUUAAACUUAGGUGCUACCGUAGCAGCAGGAGCAGCUACUUCAUUUGAAUCAGAAAUCAGAUUUUCAUCUAACGGCCUUACAGCUCCAAUAGACGGUGGUUGAGAAGAAGCAUAAUGGUAAUGAUCGCCUGCACCGGAAACUUGUGAAUUCUCUAACGGCCUCACAGAUCCAGUAGACAGUGGUUGAGCAGAAGCAUCGUACUCGCCGCCGAUGCCGGAGACUUGAGAAGUAUUUAACGGUCUCACAUCCCGAGUUGACAGUGGUACUUCAUCAUCAUCUGCAUGGUCAUCGAUGCCACCGGAAAUCUGAGAAAUUUCCAAGGGUCUCACAGCUGUCAAAGACGGUGGGUUCGUCAUUACUUAUGCUCCCGUCAGACGGUUGUUGAUCGGGAUUCAUUUUCUUGUUGGGUUGGGUCUUGAAAUUUUAAAUAGGGGUCGUGAUUUAUUUAUAUGAAAAUGAAGCAUCAUUUUAUGUACACAUGUAUUUGAAGCUUUAAAUAAAUAAUAAUAUCUCAAAAAAGAUGAUUGAUUC